RNAcentral lists this transfer RNA (81 nucleotides) under Tremella mesenterica. RNAcentral describes it as "tRNA-Met". Lineage: Eukaryota; Fungi; Basidiomycota; Tremellomycetes; Tremellales; Tremellaceae. The record is from RNAcentral.
AACGUCUUAACGCAGAGGAAGCGUGUCAGGCUCAUAUUGCCGGUGACCUGAAAGUCCCAUGAUCGAAACAUGGAGACGUUA